CGUAUGGAGCAAGCGUUAUCCGGAUUUAUUGGGUUUAAAGGGUGCGUAGGCGGCCGAGUAAGUCAGCGGUGAAAUUUUGCAGCUUAACUGUAACAGUGCCGUUGAUACUGCAUGGCUAGGAUUUGGUUGCUGAGGGUGGAAUGUGUGGUGUAGCGGUGAAAUGCUUAGAUGUCACACAGAAUAUCAAUUGCGAAGGCAGCUCACAAAGCCAAGAUUGACGCUGAGGCACGAAAGUGUGGGGAUCAAA
RNAcentral lists this ribosomal RNA (247 nucleotides) under uncultured prokaryote. RNAcentral describes it as "partial 16S ribosomal RNA". It matches the Rfam family "Bacterial small subunit ribosomal RNA", at positions 526 to 772 of the family's 1533-position model. The record is from RNAcentral.